Molecule: ribosomal RNA, 460 nt
Filed under: uncultured bacterium
Lineage: Bacteria
Description: SSU rRNA
Rfam family: Bacterial small subunit ribosomal RNA
Source: RNAcentral
AGAAUCAACGCUGGCGGCGUGCCUAACACAUGCAAGUCGAACGAGAAAGUGGAGCAAUCCCUGAGUAAAGUGGCGCACGGGUGAGUAACACGUGACUAACCUACCCUUGAGUGGGGGAUAACCUAGGGAAACCUGGGCUAAUACCGCAUAAUACCUUCGGGUCAAAGGAGCAAUUCGCUUAAGGAGGGGGUCGCGGCCGAUUAGUUAGUUGGCGGGGUAAUGGCCCACCAAGACUGUGAUCGGUAUCCGGCCUGAGAGGGCGCACGGACACACUGGAACUGAAACACGGUCCAGACUCCUACGGGAGGCAGCAGUGGGGAAUUUUGCGCAAUGGGGGAAACCCUGACGCAGCAACGCCGCGUGGAGGAUGAAGUCCCUUGGGACGUAAACUCCUUUCGAUCGGGACGAUUAUGACGGUACCGGAAGAAGAAGCCCCGGCUAACUUCGCGCCAGCAGCCGC